CAACUCGCCUGCAUGAAGCUGGAAUUGCUAGUAAUCGCGGAUCAGCAAGCCGCGGUGAAUACGUUCCCGGGCCUUGUACACACCGCCCGUCACACCAUGAGAGUUGGCAACACCCGAAGUCGGUAGUCUAACCGCAAGGAGGACGCCGCCGAAGGUGGGGUCGAUGAUUAGGGUUAAGUCGUAACAAGGUAGC
Molecule: ribosomal RNA, 193 nt
Filed under: uncultured bacterium
Lineage: Bacteria
Description: partial 16S ribosomal RNA
Rfam family: Bacterial small subunit ribosomal RNA
Source: RNAcentral